RNAcentral lists this long non-coding RNA (976 nucleotides) under Panax ginseng (ginseng). RNAcentral describes it as "long non-coding RNA (PGIN_LNC017202)". The record is from RNAcentral. Lineage: Eukaryota; Viridiplantae; Streptophyta; Magnoliopsida; Apiales; Araliaceae.
ACUCGUCGACUACAUUCAAUCACUCAUCUUAGUCAUCUACUUUACUAAACUGUUUGAAGUCUCUGUCCUCUGAAGGCUACACGACUCGUCGAUCUCGAUCCUCAUCUACACGACUCGUCGAUCUCGAUCCUCUGAAGUCUCUGUCCUCUGAAGUCUCAAUCUCUGUCCUCUCACCUCUGAAGUCUCAACUCUCAACUCUCAACUCUCAACAGUCAGUCAGUCAACAGAUCUCGAUCGAUUUCUCUCAGAGUCGGACUCUCAGAGAUCUCGAACUCUCAUCGCCUCAUCGGUCGACGCGUCACGCCGACGGCAUCCGGUACGAUUUUCCUUCAACUUCAUUCUCUUACUCUCUAAUGGCUGCUCUGAAUUGAUUUAAUGGUUUUAUCAGUUGAGCUCCUAAAAAAUUGAUUUCAUGGUUUUAUCAGUUGCACGAUAUUAUCAAAUAGGUAGUAAUUGAAGUGUAUUAACAAUUGUGGUGGCUAUUAACUUUCUUGUCUCUGUUUGCAUUUGAAGAAUAGCUUGUUCUCUCCUAAAAUUUGGUUUCUAUGGUUUGCUGAAUUCUGAUUGUGUGUUGGCAGGCUGAAAUUGGAGACUUGUCUAGUAUUUUCUAUGGAGACCUAAUUUGAAUUUUGAAGGCAUAGCCUAUUUUUGGGGUGAUUUUCUACUUUCAAUUGUGCAGCACAUCAUAUAAAGAUAAUCUGUCUUGACAAGUAUAGAAGUUAGUUCAUAGGUAUUAUUGAAUAGUUUUGUUUUAUUGGCUAUUUUAAUAAUCCCAAAAGAUGAGGUAUUGUUGUGUUAAUGUUGUCAGGGUUGUGCAAUGAAUAAAAUUGACCAAAAUCUGAAGUCACAUUGUUAUGAUUAGGCAAUAAUAAUAAAUAUGUUUGGUGGCGUGACCGACGUGGAUUUGUAUGUUAGGCAUAUAGUAUUGUAUAUGGUCGUAUAUUUUUGUACUUUAUUUGAUUUUCUAAUGAUCCCC